RNAcentral lists this ribosomal RNA (405 nucleotides) under uncultured prokaryote. RNAcentral's name for it is "bacterial SSU rRNA". It matches the Rfam family "Bacterial small subunit ribosomal RNA", at positions 355 to 774 of the family's 1533-position model. The record is from RNAcentral.
UUUGGAAUAUUGCACAAUGGGCGAAAGCCUGAUGCAGCGACGCCGCGUGAGGGAAGAAGGUUUUCGGAUUGUAAACUUCUUUGAUCAGGGACGAAACAAAUGACGGUACCUGAAGAACAAGCCACGGCUAACUACGUGCCAGCAGCCGCGGUAAUACGUAGGUGGCGAGCGUUAUCCGGAUUUACUGGGUGUAAAGGGCGUGUAGGCGGGUUUGCAAGUCGGAUGUGAAAUUCCCGGGCUUAACUCGGGCGGGUCAUCCGAAACUGCAGAUCUUGAGUACUGGAGAGGAUAGUGGAAUUCCUAGUGUAGCGGUAAAAUGCGUAGAUAUUAGGAGGAACACCAGUGGCGAAGGCGGCUAUCUGGACAGUAACUGACGCUGAGGCGCGAAAGCGUGGGGAGCAAACA